GGGUGAGUAAUGCCUAGGAAUCUGCCUGGUAGUGGGGGAUAACGUCCGGAAACGGACGCUAAUACCGCAUACGUCCUACGGGAGAAAGCAGGGGACCUUCGGGCCUUGCGCUAUCAGAUGAGCCUAGGUCGGAUUAGCUAGUUGGUGGGGUAAUGGCUCACCAAGGCGACGAUCCGUAACUGGUCUGAGAGGAUGAUCAGUCACACUGGAACUGAGACACGGUCCAGACUCCUACGGGAGGCAGCAGUGGGGAAUAUUGGACAAUGGGCGAAAGCCUGAUCCAGCCAUGCCGCGUGUGUGAAGAAGGUCUUCGGAUUGUAAAGCACUUUAAGUUGGGAGGAAGGGCAGUAAAUUAAUACUUUGCUGUUUUGACGUUACCGACAGAAUAAGCACCGGCUAACUCUGUGCCAGCAGCCGCGGUAAUACAGAGGGUGCAAGCGUUAAUCGGAAUUACUGGGCGUAAAGCGCGCGUAGGUGGUUCGUUAAGUUGGAUGUGAAAUCCCCGGGCUCAACCUGGGAACUGCAUUCAAAACUGACGAGCUAGAGUAUGGUAGAGGGUGGUGGAAUUUCCUGUGUAGCGGUGAAAUGCGUAGA
RNAcentral lists this ribosomal RNA (594 nucleotides) under uncultured bacterium. Its description in RNAcentral is "bacterial SSU rRNA". It matches the Rfam family "Bacterial small subunit ribosomal RNA", at positions 104 to 694 of the family's 1533-position model. The record is from RNAcentral.